This 426-nucleotide ribosomal RNA is filed under the name uncultured bacterium. RNAcentral describes it as "bacterial SSU rRNA". It matches the Rfam family "Bacterial small subunit ribosomal RNA", at positions 355 to 772 of the family's 1533-position model. The record is from RNAcentral.
UGGGGAAUUGUUCGCAAUGGGCGCAAGCCUGACGACGCAACGCCGCGUGGAGGAUGAAGGUCUUCGGAUCGUAAACUCCUGUCGAACGGGACGAACACCUUUCGGGAUAACACCCUGAGAGGCUGACGGUACCGUGAGAAGAAGCCCCGGCUAACUUCGUGCCAGCAGCCGCGGUAAUACGAAGGGGGCUAGCGUUGUUCGGAAUUACUGGGCGUAAAGGGCGCGCAGGCGGUCUUCCAAGUCGGAUGUGAAAGCCCCGGGCUCAACCUGGGAACUGCAUUCGAGACUGGGGGACUUGAGUUCGGGAGAGGAGAGCGGAAUUCCCAGUGUAGAGGUGAAAUUCGUAGAUAUUGGGAAGAACACCGGUGGCGAAGGCGGCUCUCUGGACCGAUACUGACGCUGAGGCGCGAAAGCGUGGGGAGCAAA